CCAGCAAAGCUCCCUCUCACCUCCCUGGACAAGACACUGACCAUACAGCCUGGGAGCAACUGAGGGUACAGGUAGCACCAUGCAGUGUGGAAACCUCCCUUUGUGUCUGACAGGAGUAGCUGUGGUUCAAGCCCAUGUGAUACAGUGGAUCAAGUGCCCAGAUGUGCUGAUUUUCAACAAUAGCCUAUCCCAUGCAAAACACUAACGUUCUCUACUCUACCUGAGAAGUUACACUGGAUGUAGUCCUGCAAAGCUUCUUUGCUGAAUAAGCCUGGCUCCUUUGAUUCAGAUCCUUUCGAGGAGAGUCUAAGCAGACUGGAAUACACAAGUACCAGAAACAUUUGUAAUGCUAAACUGUAAGAAUAGAAGAAAAGCUACUUAAUUUUC
Pipra filicauda (Wire-tailed manakin) is the source of this 387-nucleotide long non-coding RNA. RefSeq lists it as uncharacterized. The record is from RefSeq and is a predicted model, not a curated record. Lineage: Eukaryota; Metazoa; Chordata; Aves; Passeriformes; Pipridae. The transcript is spliced from 2 exons.